AGGUGGUGCAUGGUUGUCGUCAGCUCGUGUCGUGAGAUGUUGGGUUAAGUCCCGCAACGAGCGCAACCCUUAAGCUUAGUUGCCAUCAUUAAGUUGGGCACUCUAAGUUGACUGCCGGUGACAAACCGGAGGAAGGUGGGGAUGACGUCAAAUCAUCAUGCCCCUUAUGAUUUGGGCUACACACGUGCUACAAUGGACAAUACAAAGGGCAGCGAAACCGCGAGGUCAAGCAAAUCCCAUAAAGUUGUUCUCAGUUCGGAUUGUAGUCUGCAACUCGACUAUAUGAAGCUGGAAUCGCUAGUAAUCGUAGAUCAGCAUGCUACGGUGAAUACGUUCCCGGGUCUUG
Molecule: ribosomal RNA, 346 nt
Filed under: uncultured bacterium
Lineage: Bacteria
Description: bacterial SSU rRNA
Rfam family: Bacterial small subunit ribosomal RNA
Source: RNAcentral